RNAcentral lists this ribosomal RNA (497 nucleotides) under uncultured bacterium. RNAcentral's name for it is "partial 16S ribosomal RNA". It matches the Rfam family "Bacterial small subunit ribosomal RNA", at positions 28 to 507 of the family's 1533-position model. The record is from RNAcentral.
GAUGAACGCUGGCGGCGUGCCUAAUACAUGCAAGUCGAGCGAACGGACGAGAAGCUUGCUUCUCUGAUGUUAGCGGAGGACGGGUGAGUAACACGUGGAUCAUCUCCCUAUCAGUCUGGGAUAACUUCGGGACACCGGCGAUAAUCCCGGAUGAUCUUUUGAACCGCAUGGUUCAAAAGUAAAAUACGGUCUUGCUGUCACUUAUAGAUGGAUCUGCGCUGCAUUAGCUAGUUGGUAAGGUAACGGCUUAGCACGGGAAGGAUGCAUAGCCGAGCUGUGAGGGGGAUCGGCCACACUGGAACUGAGACGCGGUCAAGAGUCCUGAGGGAGGCAGCAGUAGGGAAUGGGCCGCAAUGGGCGAAAGCCUGACGGAGCAACGCCGCGUGAGUUGUGAAGGUCCUCGGAGCGUAAUACUCGGUUAUUAGUUGAGAACAGAUGUGGAAGUAACUGUGCAGAGCGUGACGGUACCUAAUCAGAAAGCCACGGCUAACUACGUG